Non-coding RNA from Aegilops tauschii subsp. strangulata, 459 nucleotides. The record is from RefSeq and is a predicted model, not a curated record. NCBI's taxonomy places the organism in Eukaryota, Viridiplantae, Streptophyta, Magnoliopsida, Poales, Poaceae.
GGCUCUUGAAUGUUUUCCUCAUUUGUUUGGACAAAUCAAUAUAAUAACGAUUUUUUUCCACACCUUAAUUGGGUAAUCCAAGAGUUACAUCGGAUCUUACAUGUGAUGUUUGCUUGUUGUCAAGGAUGAUACCUGCUUACUCACACGUUGUCUUCUAAUUGUGGAUUGAAGUCCUCAAUCUUUUUCAUGUCAGUAGCCUGCCAUUGGUGGUCAAUCUUAAUUAGAAGUUUGAACUGAAAUAUCUUGUUUUAGUUCACGAUUUUGUAUGGGAAAUGAGCUUUUUAUAUGGUCAAGAAAAACAAAUAUUUUGCCAAGUAGACUUAUAUAGCGCAGUUAACUUGAGUUAAAGUCCAAAUCCUGCAUCUUUGCCUAUGAUGGUUGUCGCUUUCCUUUUGACAUGAGCAGGUAAGAUCAUGUUGGAAAUAUGCUCUAGAGGCAAUGAUAAAAUGGUUAUUAUUA